RNAcentral lists this ribosomal RNA (408 nucleotides) under uncultured bacterium. Its description in RNAcentral is "partial 16S ribosomal RNA". It matches the Rfam family "Bacterial small subunit ribosomal RNA", at positions 28 to 526 of the family's 1533-position model. The record is from RNAcentral.
GACGAACGCUGGCUGCGUGCUUAACUCAUGCAAGUCGAACGAAGUGGCGAACGGGUGAGUAAUACGUGGGUAACCUGCCCUCCUUUUUGGGAUAAGCCUUGGAAACGGGGUCUAAUAUCGAAUAAAGGGGGAUGGGCUCGCGGCCUAUCAGCUUGUUGGUGGGGUGAUGGCCUACGAAGGCGGUGACGGGUAGCCGGCCUGAGAGGGUGAACGGAAACAAGGGGACUGAGGUACGGCCCAGACACCUACGGGAGGCAGCAGUGGGAGAUAUUGCACAAUGGGCGAAAGACUGAUGCAGCAACGCCGCAUGGGGGAUGAAAACUUUCGGGUUGUAAACCUAUUUCGGUAUCGAAGGGGUAGAUGAAGAAAAAGGGCCGGCUAACUACGUGCCAGCAGACGCAGUAAUUC